This is a non-coding RNA of Elaeis guineensis (African oil palm), 119 nucleotides long. The record is from RefSeq and is a predicted model, not a curated record. Lineage: Eukaryota; Viridiplantae; Streptophyta; Magnoliopsida; Arecales; Arecaceae.
GGGUGCAAUCAUGCCAGCACUAAUGCACCGGAUCCCAUCAGAACUCCAUAGUUAAGCAUGCUUGGAUGAGAGUAGUACUAGGAUGGGUGACCCCUUGGGAAGUCCUCGUGUUGCAUCCC